CCGAAAAACAAAUUGAUAAAGAUAGAAGAAAAUUCAUUCUAAUCACCAAUUUUUUUUCUUUCUUUCGUUGUUAUGAUUUAUGUCUCUAGUUCAUUGAUUUAUGAGAAUGAAUAAUUUUUCAAUGAUGAAAUAGUUUAUUCAAGUUUCCGGCAACAAUACCAUGGUGAUAAUAAAACAAAACGACAACGACAACGACAACAACACCCGGUAAGUUCGAAUAAAAUAAAAAAAAACCGUGAUCAGUAAUUUAAUUAUGAAAUUCAUCUAUUUUUAGUGUACACUUUUUGUUUUCAUAUGUGAAAUAGAAAAAUAUAAUUGAUUGAUGAAUUCAUCAAGAUCAGAAAACAAAACAAAACAAAAAAAACGAUUAACGUGUAUGUAUGCAUACUAACAAAACACACCCAUAAAGAAAACAAAACAUUCACAUCAUCAUCAUUUUUGUGGUUGUAUUUAUUUGCGUUCAUUCGAACCAAAACAACACCGUAAACAGUGAGAAAAGUGAUGAUGAUUUUCAAAAGAAAAUUCUGAAUGUUGAACCCUGACCUUGUCUUAUUAUAUUAGAAGACAACAACAGCAAACAACAACAACAACAACAACAACGAAAUAGAAUAAUCGAAAUCAAUAUAUGUGUGCAAUAUGAUCUUUAUGCAAAAUUAUGAUUGAUACAAAAAUUGUCGAUAAAAUACAAUCAUUCAUCAUCAAUCGAUGGAAUUGUAACAAACAUAAGAUCCUGAUGAAUUGUGUCGUUGUUGUUGCUGCUGUUGGUACAUUUUUUUCAUCUGUAUGUGUAAUUUAUCAUACCAAAUCAUCAACAAAUAGCACGUCAUACGAAUUAAUUACAUCUAUAUAUUUGUGUGUGUGUGUGUGUGAAGAAUGAUAAAAAAUUAGAAAAAAAAUCAUCAUAGCAUCCAUCAAUCUAUCCAUAAACUUUUAAUGAUAACAACAACAACAACAACAAAAACAAAACAUACUCAUCAUCACAUUUGCCAUUGAAAGUUUUAACUUGAUUUGAAACUCGUUCAACAUUACCAUCGUUCCUUAUAAUCAGCAGUUGAUUUGAAUUUAAAUGUGAUGUGUGUGAUCAGUGUGAUCAGUGUGAUGAUUACGAAAUUGAAUUAAAGAAUUGAUAACAAUAAUUGAUUGAUUGAUAAUGUGAUUGAUGAUUUAAACGAAAAAUCAUUGUCCCUUUUUUUGUGUGUGUAUGUGUAAUACUUGAAAAUUAUCAUCAUCAAUAGUAAUUUGUCCUUUUUGGUCUCUUUUGAUCGAUUCACGUGUGUGUGUCCGUUUGUGUUUGUGUAAAAUCCAAAAACUUUGGAAUUUUGAAAUUUGG
Non-coding RNA from Dermatophagoides farinae (American house dust mite), 1330 nucleotides. The record is from RefSeq and is a predicted model, not a curated record. Lineage: Eukaryota; Metazoa; Arthropoda; Arachnida; Sarcoptiformes; Pyroglyphidae.